Molecule: non-coding RNA, 140 nt
Organism: Caenorhabditis elegans
Lineage: Eukaryota; Metazoa; Nematoda; Chromadorea; Rhabditida; Rhabditidae
Source: Ensembl
CCCGGGGGCUAGUCUUGUUUUUCGGGAAUACAAUUGCUUCAAAUCUGUGCGUUUCGAGUAUGGGAGUCUUUACCGCCCCUCGUCCUCACCGCCUGAUUAAACAAUUGGAGGACUUGGAAAGCUGUUGUUGAACGACGCAG